Molecule: ribosomal RNA, 1505 nt
Filed under: metagenome
Description: bacterial SSU rRNA
Rfam family: Bacterial small subunit ribosomal RNA
Source: RNAcentral
AGAGUUUGAUCCUGGCUCAGGACGAACGCUGGCGGCGUGCCUAAUACAUGCAAGUAGAACGCUGAAGAGAGGAGCUUGCUCUUCUUGGAUGAGUUGCGAACGGGUGAGUAACGCGUAGGUAACCUGCCUUGUAGCGGGGGAUAACUAUUGGAAACGAUAGCUAAUACCGCAUAACAAUGGAUGACACAUGUCAUUUAUUUGAAAGGGGCAAUUGUUCCACUACAAGAUGGACCUGCGUUGUAUUAGCUAGUAGGUGAGGUAAUGGCUCACCUAGGCGACGAUACAUAGCCGACCUGAGAGGGUGAUCGGCCACACUGGGACUGAGACACGGCCCAGACUCCUACGGGAGGCAGCAGUAGGGAAUCUUCGGCAAUGGGGGCAACCCUGACCGAGCAACGCCGCGUGAGUGAAGAAGGUUUUCGGAUCGUAAAGCUCUGUUGUAAGUCAAGAACGGGUGUGAGAGUGGAAAGUUCACACUGUGACGGUAGCUUACCAGAAAGGGACGGCUAACUACGUGCCAGCAGCCGCGGUAAUACGUAGGUCCCGAGCGUUGUCCGGAUUUAUUGGGCGUAAAGCGAGCGCAGGCGGUUUGAUAAGUCUGAAGUUAAAGGCUGUGGCUCAACCAUAGUUCGCUUUGGAAACUGUCAAACUUGAGUGCAGAAGGGGAGAGUGGAAUUCCAUGUGUAGCGGUGAAAUGCGUAGAUAUAUGGAGGAACACCGGUGGCGAAAGCGGCUCUCUGGUCUGUAACUGACGCUGAGGCUCGAAAGCGUGGGGAGCGAACAGGAUUAGAUACCCUGGUAGUCCACGCCGUAAACGAUGAGUGCUAGGUGUUGGAUCCUUUCCGGGAUUCAGUGCCGCAGCUAACGCAUUAAGCACUCCGCCUGGGGAGUACGACCGCAAGGUUGAAACUCAAAGGAAUUGACGGGGGCCCGCACAAGCGGUGGAGCAUGUGGUUUAAUUCGAAGCAACGCGAAGAACCUUACCAGGUCUUGACAUCCCGAUGCUAUUUCUAGAGAUAGAAAGUUACUUCGGUACAUCGGUGACAGGUGGUGCAUGGUUGUCGUCAGCUCGUGUCGUGAGAUGUUGGGUUAAGUCCCGCAACGAGCGCAACCCCUAUUGUUAGUUGCCAUCAUUCAGUUGGGCACUCUAGCGAGACUGCCGGUAAUAAACCGGAGGAAGGUGGGGAUGACGUCAAAUCAUCAUGCCCCUUAUGACCUGGGCUACACACGUGCUACAAUGGUUGGUACAACGAGUUGCGAGUCGGUGACGGCGAGCUAUCUCUUAAAGCCAAUCUCAGUUCGGAUUGUAGGCUGCAACUCGCCUACAUGAAGUCGGAAUCGCUAGUAAUCGCGGAUCAGCACGCCGCGGUGAAUACGUUCCCGGGCCUUGUACACACCGCCCGUCACACCACGAGAGUUUGUAACACCCGAAGUCGGUGAGGUAACCUUUUGGAGCCAGCCGCCUAAGGUGGGACAGAUGAUUGGGGUGAAGUCGUAACAAGGUA